RNAcentral lists this ribosomal RNA (253 nucleotides) under uncultured bacterium. RNAcentral describes it as "partial 16S ribosomal RNA". It matches the Rfam family "Bacterial small subunit ribosomal RNA", at positions 524 to 776 of the family's 1533-position model. The record is from RNAcentral.
GACAGAGGGUGCGAGCGUUAAUCGGAAUUACUGGGCGUAAAGCGUGCGUAGGCGGUUAUUUAAGUCGGGUGUGAAAGCCCCGGGCUCAACCUGGGAAUUGCAUUCGAGACUGAAUAGCUAGGGUACGGUAGAGGGAAGCGGAAUUUCCGGUGUAGCGGUGAAAUGCAUAGAUAUCGGAAGGAACAUCAGUGGCGAAAGCGGCUUCCUGGACCAGUACCGACGUUCAGGCACGAAAGCGUGGGGAGCAAACAGG